GCCAGCGGUCCGGCCGGGAACUCAAAGGAGACUGCCAGUGAUAAACUGGAGGAAGGUGGGGAUGACGUCAAGUCAUCAUGGCCCUUACGACCAGGGCUACACACGUGCUACAAUGGCGCAUACAAAGAGAAGCGACCUCGCGAGAGCAAGCGGACCUCAUAAAGUGCGUCGUAGUCCGGAUUGGAGUCUGCAACUCGACUCCAUGAAGUCGGAAUCGCUAGUAAUCGUGGAUCAGAAUGCCACGGUGAAUACGUUCCCGGGCCUUGUACACACCGCCCGUCACACCAUGGGAGUGGGUUGCAAAAGAAGUAGGUAGCUUAACCUUCGGGAGGGCGCUUACCACUUUGUGAUUCAUGACUGGGGUGAAGUCGUAACAAGGUAACCGUAGGGGAACCUGC
Molecule: ribosomal RNA, 398 nt
Filed under: Salmonella enterica subsp. enterica serovar Infantis
Lineage: Bacteria; Pseudomonadati; Pseudomonadota; Gammaproteobacteria; Enterobacterales; Enterobacteriaceae
Also listed under: 2 other names
Description: bacterial SSU rRNA
Rfam family: Bacterial small subunit ribosomal RNA
Source: RNAcentral